GACGAACGCUGGCGGCGUGCUUAACACAUGCAAGUCGAACGAAGAGCGAUGGAAGCUUGCUUCUAUCAAUCUUAGUGGCGAGCGGGUGAGUAACGCGUAAUCAACCUGCCCUUCAGAGGGGGACAACAGUUGGAAACGACUGCUAAUACCGCAUACGAUCCAAUCUCGGCAUCGGGACUGGAUGAAAGGUGGCCUCUAUUUAUAAGCUAUCACUGAAGGAGGGGAUUGCGUCUGAUUAGCUAGUUGGAGGGGUAACGGCCCACCAAGGCGAUGAUCAGUAGCCGGUCUGAGAGGAUGAACGGCCACAUUGGGACUGAGACACGGCCCAGACUCCUACGGGAGGCAGCAGUGGGGAAUCUUCCGCAAUGGACGAAAGUCUGACGGAGCAACGCCGCGUGAGUGAUGACGGCCUUCGGGUUGUAAAGCUCUGAUAAUCGGGACGAAUGGUUCUUGUGCGAAUAGUGCGAGGAUUUGACGGUACCGGAAUAGAAAGCCACGGCUAACUACGUG
Molecule: ribosomal RNA, 510 nt
Filed under: uncultured bacterium
Lineage: Bacteria
Description: partial 16S ribosomal RNA
Rfam family: Bacterial small subunit ribosomal RNA
Source: RNAcentral